CGCUAGCGGCAGGCUUAACACAUGCAAGUCGAGGGGUAUAGUUCUUCGGAAUUAGAGACCGGCGCACGGGUGCGUAACGCGUAUGCAAUCUACCUUUCACAGAGGGAUAGCCCAGAGAAAUUUGGAUUAAUACCUCAUAGUAUAGCAGUUUCGCAUGAAACCACUAUUAAAGUCACAACGGUGAAAGAUGAGCAUGCGUCCCAUUAGCUAGUUGGUAAGGUAACGGCUUACCAAGGCAACGAUGGGUAGGGGUCCUGAGAGGGAGAUCCCCCACACUGGUACUGAGACACGGACCAGACUCCUACGGGAGGCAGCAGUGAGGAAUAUUGGACAAUGGGCGCAAGCCUGAUCCAGCCAUGCCGCGUGCAGGAUGACGGUCCUAUGGAUUGUAAACUGCUUUUAUACAGGAAGAAACACUACUUCGUGAAGUAGCUUGACGGUACUGUAAGAAUAAGGAUCGGCUAACUCCGUG
This 472-nucleotide ribosomal RNA is filed under the name uncultured bacterium. Its description in RNAcentral is "bacterial SSU rRNA". It matches the Rfam family "Bacterial small subunit ribosomal RNA", at positions 34 to 507 of the family's 1533-position model. The record is from RNAcentral.